GACGAACGCUGGCGGCGUGCUUAACACAUGCAAGUCGAACGGAAAGGCCAUGCCUUCCGCUUAUACUAGAGUCGCACACGUGUGAAUAACACGUGGGUUCUCUGCCGUGUACCUGGGUAUACGUUGGAAAAUCUGGGUCUAAUCCCGGAGAAGCCAACUUUUUGGAUAUUGUUGUGGAAAUCUUUUGGGGUAGGGGCUGAGCGCGCGGCAUAUCAUCUUUGUGGUGGGGUAGUGGCCUACCGAGGCGGCGGGGGGUAGCCGGCGUGAGAGGGUGUACGGCCACAGUGGGAGUGAGACGCGGCCGAGACCCCUACGGGGGGGAGGAGUGGAAUAUUUUGCAAUAUGGGCGCAAGCCUGAUGGAGCGACGGCGUGUGGGGGAUGAAGGCCUUCGGUGUGUAAACUUCUUUCGCGAGGGACGGAGCGUAAGUGACGGUACCUGGAUAAGAAGCACCGGCUAACUACGUG
RNAcentral lists this ribosomal RNA (466 nucleotides) under uncultured bacterium. Its description in RNAcentral is "partial 16S ribosomal RNA". It matches the Rfam family "Bacterial small subunit ribosomal RNA", at positions 28 to 507 of the family's 1533-position model. The record is from RNAcentral.